RNAcentral lists this ribosomal RNA (254 nucleotides) under uncultured bacterium. RNAcentral's name for it is "partial 16S ribosomal RNA". It matches the Rfam family "Bacterial small subunit ribosomal RNA", at positions 524 to 776 of the family's 1533-position model. The record is from RNAcentral.
UACGUAGGGUGCGAGCGUUGUUCGGAAUUAUUGGGCGUAAAGAGCUCGUAGGCGGUUUGUCACGUCGGCCGUGAAAACCUGCAGCUUAACUGUGGGCGUGCGGUCGAUACGGGCAUCACUGGAGUUCGGCAGGGGAGACUGGAAUUCCUGGUGUAGCGGUGAAAUGCGCAGAUAUCAGGAGGAACACCGGUGGCGAAGGCGGGUCUCUGGGCCGAUACUGACGCUGAGGAGCGAAAGCGUGGGGAGCAAACAGG